ACAUUAAAAAGUUUUAAAAGUAAAAUUAGUUUCUAAUUGUAUUUUAUAAUAAUUUAUUUUGUUAAUUAUGAAAGAUAUAAUAAUAUUUAAAUUUUUUUGGAAAUUUUUUUCUAUUACUAGCAUGUGAAUUCCCUUAUUUCCUAUGGAAAAUGAAAAUUGGAGUUCUCUUAGAACAUGGAAAAUGAAAAUUAGAGAACUGUUUUCCACUAGUAAAUAGGCCCUAAAUGACUUGAUAGAAGCACAAUAUAAUUCUAAGCAGAAUUCACUAUUAUGAGAAAAUUAUUGAUAUUUAAUUUCAUAUUGGUGCUUGAUGAUGGAGAGCAGAAAGUUAUAGUUCUUCAAGUGUCUAUAUUUUUUUCUUUUGUUAAUGUGAAUCAUAUGGGUAUGUUGUCUUGGAGUAAAGAUGAAGAGUAACUUUUUGGAUAGUAUUGCUUGUUUCUUUUUGUUUAUUAUGGCACCAUUGGUUAGUCCUUUAUACUAAUUUUGCAGGAUCUGGAACAACCCUUAAUUCAUUUGUUCUAAUUAUGGUCUACCAUGCAUGCAAAUAUACACGUUAGUGACCCUAAUUGGGGUUUGGUCUAUGAAAAUAUAAAAGGCUGCAAAUGUGCUGUAUGUUAUUGUUUCCUAUCUAUCUUGAAUUGGAAGCCAUUGACGUGUGGUUAUUGGUCUACUACAUGCCAGUCCAUUUUUUAUAGUUAUAUGCUGAUCUGUAGAUAGGAUAGUAUCUAUUACUCUCUCUCUCUCUGAUGAUUUUCCUACCAUAUUUUGACUUUUCUUUGCUUGUUAAAAUAGGUGGUCAUACCAUUACAUCAGCUUAAAGCUGUCAAUCCUUCGUCAAGCAGAUCAAAUUCUGCAGAGAAAUACAUUCAGAUUAUUUCUGUUGAUAAUCAUGAAUUUUGGUUCAUGGGCUUCUUAAACUACGAUGGUGCUGUGAGAUAUCUACAGGAUGCUUUGCAAUCCCAUAAUCUACAGUCAGUGUGAUACUUGUCCCAUCGGGCCUAACUCUUUGCCAUCACAUGGUCUUUAUCUUACAACCAGAAGUUUUCAACCUGUGCUGCCAACUGCUAAUGUGAUAACAGCGCAUGUUGCAAUUCUUGGGAAAAUUUUCUUUGUUCCUCUAGGAAUGAAAUUAGGUAAUUGUAGAUUUUAUGAACAUUUUUGUGACAGCAACUAGAAUAUAUAUAAAUAUAUAUGUGGUUGUAAUUUGCAUGAUACAACUCAUUGGAAGACUUCUUAUUGAAUGAAUCUUUUGUGAGAUUAGCUGUUACUUUCACCUAUUUACCUGCCUGCUUAACCUCUAUUG
Molecule: unclassified non-coding RNA, 1303 nt
Filed under: Hevea brasiliensis (rubber tree)
Lineage: Eukaryota; Viridiplantae; Streptophyta; Magnoliopsida; Malpighiales; Euphorbiaceae
Source: RNAcentral